GAAAUUUGAUGGGAAGCAAUUUUAUUUGAAUUUCAUUCACUUUACUUGCCAUUUCAGUUGUAGUUACUUAAAACUCAGAUGUGAAAUAUCAAAUUAAUUUUAGUCAGAGUUCUGCGGAGAACUCAUGAUUAAGAUGACAAUAACAUUAUAUUACAUUUUUAUACAUUAUAUUACAUUUUUAUACAAGGCAAGCAAAGAGUGCGAAGCAUGAAAAGUAAAAAGGAAAUUAAUAUCAAACAUGCAUACAUACACACAGUAUUACAAACACUUAAUCAAAGUCUUAGCUACUGACACCCCCUUGAAAAAAAAAAAUUUCUCCCAAAUUUACUUCUGAGAAUGGCUUAGUCAAUGGAUGCCAUUUAUUUAUCAGCGAUGAAGAAACUUGUUUCAUGGUUGGCCGAGAUUGCGGAUUGGCACUCAAGCAGGCAAGUGCGAGUUGUGCAAUAUGUAUUACUCCUUCAGCAGCUUUGUUUUGAGGAGUUGGGAGACGUUGAUCAAUCACAUCCUUAAGUAGUGUAUACUGAUCCAUCUGUGAAAGAGUUGAAAUGAAAUCACCUGGAUGUCUUCCCAUUAGAAUUUCAAGUGUCACCACACCAAAACUGUAAACAUCAUAUUUUUCAUUGACGAUCAUGGUGUAAGCUAGCUCUGCAAAAAUGUACAAUCACGCAUUAGCUUGCAGGUUUGCAGUGGCAUUGUAAGGCAUAUAAAAAGCAUGAUCUUAGAUCAUUUAUUGUGGUACCGCAUUGAUCUUAGUUUGCAUGAUUAUGACAAUUGACAAAUUUGGAUUUAAUUUAGGAAAGAAAUGGAAUUCUUACAAAAUCAUAUUAGCUAAUCUAGACAGAGCCAGAAUUUAACAAAAUUGCUUAACAAUCUAGACCGCAUUUCCCCUAACAAUGUUUCCAGGAAGGGAACCAUGGCAUUACAUGUGUAAUGAAAUUUCAGCAGAACAAAUUAUGUUUAGCAAUUGCACAGAGUCUAAUUGUCUUGCACUUCAUCAGUCUGCACAUGAGGAUGCCUUUAUCUGUGUGUGACCCAUUUAUAGGCACCAGCAACUAUAUCAAUGAUGUUAUGAGUUUGAGUUCAUUUGCAGAAGAGGUUCAGCUAAAAGGUAAAGUUUUUAAGAUUACAUUAAAAAAAUGGAUUAAGAAAAUUUAUUAACUUUAUUAUGAUAAAUAAAUGAAGCCAAAGAAAGUACCUGGUGCCGAGUACCCAAAUGUGCCUGCUAAUGAGGUCCAAUUUGACAAGUCUGGCAUUAAGAUCCUAGCUGUUCCAAAAUCAGAGACAUGAGCCUCAAACUCUGAAUCCAAUAGAACAUUGUUACUGGAAAUGUCUCGAUGGAUGAUUGAAGGAGAGCAGUCAUGGUGCAUAUAGGUCAAUGCAUUAGCUAUUCCCUUAACAACAUUUUGCCUCCUAAACCAAUCCAACUCCACUGCUUGUUCUUCAUUGCUUAAAUUAUUUCUUAAACUUCCUCCUUCUAUGAAUUCAUAAACCAAAAAUGAGAGUUUGGGGUGUGAAAAAAAACCAUAUAACUUCACAAUAU
This 1540-nucleotide unclassified non-coding RNA is filed under the name Hevea brasiliensis (rubber tree). Lineage: Eukaryota; Viridiplantae; Streptophyta; Magnoliopsida; Malpighiales; Euphorbiaceae. The record is from RNAcentral.